This 255-nucleotide ribosomal RNA is filed under the name uncultured bacterium. RNAcentral describes it as "partial 16S ribosomal RNA". It matches the Rfam family "Bacterial small subunit ribosomal RNA", at positions 524 to 776 of the family's 1533-position model. The record is from RNAcentral.
UACAGAGGGUGCAAACGUUGUUCGGAUUUACUGGGCGUAAAGCGCGUGUAGGCUGCUUCGCAAGUCGGAUGUGAAAGCCCUGGGCUCAACCCAGGAAGUGCAUUCGAAACUGCAGAGCUGGAGUCCUGGAGAGGAAGGCGGAAUUCUCGGUGUAGAGGUGAAAUUCGUAGAUAUCGAGAGGAACACCGGUGGCGAAGGCGGCCUUCUGGACAGUGACUGACGCUGAGACGCGAAAAGCGUGGGGGAGCAAACAGG